Long non-coding RNA from Ficedula albicollis (Collared flycatcher), 1619 nucleotides. The record is from Ensembl. Lineage: Eukaryota; Metazoa; Chordata; Aves; Passeriformes; Muscicapidae.
AUGCCAAGCUGGCUCAGGGGGCUCUGCCCUGAGCUCCCAGGAGCUCCCAGGCUGCAGAUGCCAAUGCUCAGCCACACCAGGACACUGCCCUCACCACCACCAGCAGUGCCAGCACCAGCAGCAGCAGCAGUGCCAGCACCAGCAGUGCCAGCACCAGCAGUGCCAGCACCAGCAGCAGUGCCACCAGCAGUGCCAGCACCAGCAGCAGCAGUUGCCUCUGAGCUGUUGGUGCCCCUGCACUGCUGCCCCUCCCACUGGUACCAAUGUUCCAUCCCUGCCCUGGAGACAGCCCUGGAGUCCAUCCCUGAGGUCACAGAGCCAUGGAAUCCCAGGGUUCCAGGUCUGGGGAAUCCCAGAGUCAUGGAGUCCUGGGGAACCACGCUCAUCUUGGAUGCUGAGAUGAUGACCUCUGUUGUUUUGACUGCCACUCAUGUAACACCUGACAGUGUGGAUCUAAAAUGUGCAGCCAGUCUUGUGAAUGGCAGAUAGGAACAUGGAAGUGCAAGGAGGAAAAUCCUGAGUACUCAAAGGAAGGAACUUGUCAGCAGGUACUGUGUUCAAGAUCAGACAGGGGCUUUUUUUUUUUUUUUUUUCUCUACCAUUUUAGCAUGAAAUCAAUGGGGAAUGCAUAAUUUUUCAGAUGUGUCUGAUAUUGCACAGCAAAUGGUCACCAAUGAGACUCUCAGCUGCCACACAAUCUGGCACAGCUCCUUUCUGCUCCAUAGCUCCCAGUUGCAUUCAGCCCACUGUCGAUGUGAUGCCUCCUUUUGGCUCCUUGCCCAUCUGUUUUAGUAAUUACUGUCAUAUAAACUGAUAUUUCUAGACUAGAAACCAUGUUGUUGUGAGAAAAGCCCAUUGGAGUUACCUUUUGUGAUGUGUUCAAGCAGCUCACUGACUUCUUAUUUUAAACUGUAAAAUUUGCAUCAACAUUUCCUACAGUAUAUAGAGAAGGAUACUUUUUUUUGUUUUGGAAUGCAAGGAGUUGUAAUGAAAUAGAAUCAGAAUUUGAUAAUGCUUCCUUUUUAUCAUGGCUAUGGUACUUUCAUAGUUUUAGCUCUUUUUUUCCCCCCCCUUUUUUUUUUUUUUUUUUUUUUUUUUUUUUUUUUAGGAUCACAAAAAAACGGUGUCCUUGAAUAAAGUAUUUGUGUUAAUAAGUAUUGGCAGACAUAAUUUUUAAAGUGUAAAAUAUACAAAGAAGUGGUUUGCCCUAUCCAAAUCAUCCAUUAGCACAACAGGACCAUCCAAAAUGACAUCAUCACAUAUGCCAGCUAAAGCACAAAGGUUUCAAGAGGGUGAAGAGCAGCUUUACACUGACAGAAAUUGAGUAGAAUCAAAGGUGAGUUAAAAGAAAGGCUCAGACAACAUCCUAUCACCAACUUAACCCAUUAACAGCCCCAGGGCAGUGGCACAGGAGCCAACACAAAUAUCAGUGAGGUGUGCCAAGGGGCCAGAUGCCAUCAGCUGGCAUCUGUGCCUUCAGCCUGGCAGCCACAGGGGGAGGAGAAGCUGGGCAAGCAGAGGGGGCUGCAGAGAAAGGGCUUCUCUCCCCUUUCCCUCUCUUCAUAGCAGGGUUCUUUGGGAAAGUUGGUAAUGAGAGUAGAGAGAACUCGGGCAUUUCC